Molecule: ribosomal RNA, 174 nt
Filed under: Tetranychus viennensis
Lineage: Eukaryota; Metazoa; Arthropoda; Arachnida; Trombidiformes; Tetranychidae
Description: partial 18S ribosomal RNA
Rfam family: Eukaryotic small subunit ribosomal RNA
Source: RNAcentral
UUGAUUACGUCCCUGCCCUUUGUACACACCGCCUGUCGCUACUACCGAUUGAAUGGCUUAGUGAGCCCUUGGGAUUGGCGCCCGGAAGCUGGCAACAGCAUCUGGAUGCCGAAAACUUGUGCAAACUUGGUCAUUUAGAGGAAGUAAAAGUCAUAACAAGGUUUCUGUAGGUGA